Symphalangus syndactylus (siamang) is the source of this 1211-nucleotide long non-coding RNA. RefSeq lists it as uncharacterized. The record is from RefSeq and is a predicted model, not a curated record. Lineage: Eukaryota; Metazoa; Chordata; Mammalia; Primates; Hylobatidae.
CAUCAGGCUGGAUGUCUCAUGAAAUCAUGGUGGACGGCAGCUGGGCUGAGCUGGAAGGCCAUUCACACAGCAAGUGUUCAGCCUCCAACAUGGCCUCCCUCACUGCAUGUGCCGCCUCUUCAUUCAGUCUUUUACCUUGAGCUUCUUCAUCACAUGCACCUGGCUCCCCUAGAGAGCACAAACACUGUCAUGACAUUGCCUUGGAAGCCUACACAACAUCAUUUCUGUCAUCUCAGACUCAGGGGAAGAGAAAGAGAUGCCACCACUUGAUGGGAGGAAAGACAAAGUCUCUUUGCAAAAAUCCUGCAAGGUGGGAGACGGAGAUAUUGUCAUCUUUGGAAACAGUCUACUGCUGGGUUCUUUAAUGAUGUUUCAUUCCUGAAGUUACAGAUAAAGCUAUUUCAAUGCACUCCUGCUUAGCAGACAGCCUAGUGAGUAUACUCUAAGGAUAUCUUUUUCUGCCUGUGCACAGAGAAGAGGCAAUGAGAAGACACAGCAAGAAGGCAACCAACUGCAAGCCAGGAAGAGAGCCUUCACCAGAAUCCAACCCUGACAGGAUCUUGAUCCCAGACCUCCAGCCUUCAGUCUGUGAUAUUUUGUUCUGGCAGCCUGAACAACCUAAUACACAGUCUUAAGAGGUAGAUAUCAUCCCCAUUUAUAGAUGAAGAAACUGAGGCACAGAGGGUUUGACUUUACUAAGAUUGACAGGUAGUAAGCCACUCUGAGCAUGUCCUGGAUGUAGUGCCAUCCUCUGUAAUGCACCAUCCAAUGAGACCAGGAACCAACUGGGCCUUCACUUGACCAAAGGAUGAUAUAUAGGCCUAUCAUUGAUAUGCUAGUGUGAGCAACAAAUGCCAGAACCAGAUGAUACCAGUUGCAAACAGUAGACCACAGCCAGGAGAGACCAUUUCAUGUCAUGACAUCACCAUCUUGUUUGAGCGAAUGCUGCAGCUGCCAUUGUGGGGCAUUGCUUGGGACCAUGUCCUGGCAUGUGGGAAAUUACAACUACUGACCCAAUCAAGGAACUCAAUUCACCCUCCUCAAUAUACAGGAUUGGCUGCAUCUCUGGACACAAUCUGGACUUUCUACCCAUUGUACCAUCUGUAAGAGGCAGUGGGGUAAAUAAAAUAUAGAAAUUAAAAAGAAGGCCAAAGUAUCACUUGACAUUAGCAUAAAGUAAGUCAAAUCAAUAAAAAGACAACUCAAAAAUA